UCGCCGCCGCCGACGUCGCGAGAAGUCCACUGAACCUUAUCAUUUAGAGGAAGGAGAAGUCGUAACAAGGUUUCCGUAGGUGAACCUGCGGAAGGAUCAUUGUCGAUGCCUACAAAGCAGAACGACCAGCGAACUGUUUCUCAACACCCGGGACACCGGAUGGCGUUAAGCUGCCUGGUAUCCCGACGCUUCGGAUGUUGAGGGGUGCGAUCCACCCCCAGCGGAUGGAGCAUCAAACACACCCCCGGCGUGCAAAGCGCCAAGGUACUCCAACGGUAGGCAAGCACCCGUAGGCCUGGACUCUACAGCGCUUGGGUGUCUGCUCGGUAUCAUAAAUCUAAACGACUNNNGUGUGAAUUGCAGAAUCCCGUGAACCAUCGAGUCUUUGAACGCAAGUUGCGCCCGAAGCUUUGGCUGAGGGCACGCCUGCCUGGGUGUCACACAUCGCUUUGCCUCCAGAACCUAUCCCCUCUGUAACACCGUGGUGAUGRUCUGGAUGCAGAAGAUGGCCUCCCGUGACCAUGAGCCACGGAUGGCCCAAAUUUGUGCUGGGGAAGCGAAGCGCCACGGCAUUCGGUGGUCGGCAUAGCCCCUGAGGCGUUGAAGGCCGUGGAAGCCGCGAGAGUCCCCAGCGUACAGCCCUAAUCGUUAACCAAUGCGACCUCAGGUCAGGCGGGGCUACCCGCUGAGUUUAAGCAUAUCAAUAAGCGGAGG
Molecule: ribosomal RNA, 714 nt
Filed under: Combretum platypetalum
Lineage: Eukaryota; Viridiplantae; Streptophyta; Magnoliopsida; Myrtales; Combretaceae
Description: eukaryotic LSU rRNA
Rfam family: Eukaryotic small subunit ribosomal RNA (bases 1-102)
Source: RNAcentral